Molecule: ribosomal RNA, 253 nt
Filed under: uncultured bacterium
Lineage: Bacteria
Description: partial 16S ribosomal RNA
Rfam family: Bacterial small subunit ribosomal RNA
Source: RNAcentral
UACGGAGGGGGCUAGCGUUGUUCGGAAUUACUGGGCGUAAAGCGCGCGUAGGCGGCUUUGUAAGUUAGAGGUGAAAGCCCAGGGCUCAACCCUGGAAUUGCCUUUAAGACUGCAUCGCUUGAACAUCGGAGAGGUAAGUGGAAUUCCGAGUGUAGAGGUGAAAUUCGUAGAUAUUCGGAAGAACACCAGUGGCGAAGGCGACUUACUGGACGAUUUUUGACGCUGAGGUGCGAAAGCGUGGGGAGCAAACAGG